Molecule: ribosomal RNA, 752 nt
Filed under: Ruegeria sp. AU591
Lineage: Bacteria; Pseudomonadati; Pseudomonadota; Alphaproteobacteria; Rhodobacterales; Roseobacteraceae
Description: bacterial SSU rRNA
Rfam family: Bacterial small subunit ribosomal RNA
Source: RNAcentral
UGCAAGUCGAGCGCACCUUCGGGUGAGCGGCGGACGGGUUAGUAACGCGUGGGAACAUACCCUUUGGUACGGAAUAGCCUCUGGAAACGGAGAGUAAUACCGUAUGAGCCCUUCGGGGGAAAGAUUUAUCGCCAAAGGAUUGGCCCGCGUUAGAUUAGGUAGUUGGUGGGGUAAUGGCCUACCAAGCCUACGAUCUAUAGCUGGUUUUAGAGGAUGAUCAGCAACACUGGGACUGAGACACGGCCCAGACUCCUACGGGAGGCAGCAGUGGGGAAUCUUGGACAAUGGGGGCAACCCUGAUCCAGCCAUGCCGCGUGAGUGAUGAAGGCCUUAGGGUCGUAAAGCUCUUUCGCCUGUGAAGAUAAUGACGGUAGCAGGUAAAGAAACCCCGGCUAACUCCGUGCCAGCAGCCGCGGUAAUACGGAGGGGGUUAGCGUUGUUCGGAAUUACUGGGCGUAAAGCGCACGUAGGCGGACUGGAAAGUUGGGGGUGAAAUCCCAGGGCUCAACCCUGGAACUGCCUCCAAAACUAUCAGUCUAGAGUUCGAGAGAGGUGAGUGGAAUUCCGAGUGUAGAGGUGAAAUUCGUAGAUAUUCGGAGGAACACCAGUGGCGAAGGCGGCUCACUGGCUCGAUACUGACGCUGAGGUGCGAAAGUGUGGGGAGCAACAGGAUUAGAUACCCUGGUAGUCCACACCGUAAACGAUGAAUGCCAGUCGUCGGGUAGCAUGCUAUUCGGUGACACACCUAACGG